Molecule: small nuclear RNA, 116 nt
Organism: Fukomys damarensis (Damara mole-rat)
Lineage: Eukaryota; Metazoa; Chordata; Mammalia; Rodentia; Bathyergidae
Gene: U4
Rfam family: U4 spliceosomal RNA
About the family: U4 small nuclear RNA (U4 snRNA) is a component of the major U2-dependent spliceosome. The structure of U4 snRNA from yeast and human has been reported. U4 snRNA presents a k-turn RNA motif in the 5p-SL related to recognition of Snu13 protein.
Source: Ensembl
AGCUUUGCGCAGUGGCAAUAUCAGAGACAAUGAAGUUUAACUGAGGUGUGAUUGUUGCUAACUGAAAAUUCUCAGUAAUACCUGGAUACUGAGUGUUCAGAAUAGCUCAUUAAAGC